AGGGCAGUUCAGUUGGUGAGAGCGUUGUGCUAAUAACGCAAACGUCGUGGGUUCCAUCCCCAUCUCU
This 67-nucleotide transfer RNA is filed under the name Echinostoma caproni. It matches the Rfam family "tRNA". From Rfam's summary of the family: Transfer RNA (tRNA) molecules are approximately 80 nucleotides in length. Their secondary structure includes four short double-helical elements and three loops (D, anti-codon, and T loops). The record is from Rfam by way of RNAcentral. Lineage: Eukaryota; Metazoa; Platyhelminthes; Trematoda; Plagiorchiida; Echinostomatidae.